UUAUCUUCUGCGUAAUAGUGAGCCUAUGGAUAUAUGCUGUUUUUUUGAGCACGCAUUACGAAUCUACCAAUGGAGAUCGGCCAGCAAUUCUUGAUGCCACGAAGUUCUACGCGACACGAAAAAGUGAGGUGGCGGUUGAUGUGCUACCGGAAGACCGACGUCUCAUGCGCCUUUACGAAGUAGCUCUCCAUCGCCAUGGACUCACGCCGGUCCGUGCAAGCUCCUCGGCCGUCGGGCAACCGCCGGAGACUCUCAAUCGUUUAUGUGACGCGCUGACUAGCAACAGAAUCCUGUGCCUUUCAUCAUCUCAACACAAGACUGUAAAGGACGACACGUACAGGCCAGGCGUAGUACCGUGCGUUUCUAAAUUGAAUUUCAAGGAAUACACUGCCCGUGAAAGAAUGUGGAUAUUAAAGCAAUCCCGUCCAGUCAGGAAAAUAUUGCUGUUGAAUCAGACAUUCGGUAGUGACACGGAUAA
This is a long non-coding RNA of Priapulus caudatus, 478 nucleotides long. RefSeq lists it as uncharacterized. NCBI's taxonomy places the organism in Eukaryota, Metazoa, Priapulida, Priapulimorpha, Priapulimorphida, Priapulidae. The record is from RefSeq and is a predicted model, not a curated record. The transcript has 3 exons.